Molecule: ribosomal RNA, 409 nt
Filed under: uncultured microorganism
Description: bacterial SSU rRNA
Rfam family: Archaeal small subunit ribosomal RNA
Source: RNAcentral
GCGCACCAGGCGAGAAAACUUCACACUGUGCGAAAGCACGAUGAGGGAAUCCCAAGUGCUUGCACGUAAGUGUAAGCUGUUUCUCUGUUUAAAACGCAGAGAGAGUAAGGGCUGGGUAAGACGGGUGCCAGCCGCCGCGGUAAUACCUGCAGCUCAAGUGGUGACCGUUAUUAUUGGGCCUAAAACGUCCGUAGCCGGUUUAAUAAAUGCCUGGGUAAAUCGUGUAGCUUAACUAUACGAAUUCCGGGUAGACUGUUAAACUCGAGACCGGGAGAAGUUAGAGGUACUCCUGGGGUAGAGGUGAAAUUCUGUAAUCCUAGGGGGACCACCAGUGGCGAAGGCGUCUAACUAGAACGGGUCUGACGGUGAGGGACGAAGCCCUGGGGCGCAAACGGGAUUAGAUACCCGU